ACGCUCGACACCUACGGGGGCAGCAGUGGGGGAUAUUGCACAAUGGAGGAAACUCUGAUGCAGCGACGCCGCGUGAGGGAAGACGGUUUUCGGAUUGUAAACCUCUGUCUUCAGGGACGAAAUGAAUGACGGUACCUGAGGAGGAAGCUCCGGCUAACUACGUGCCAGCAGCCGCGGUAAUCUGAGCGGGCUGGCAAGGC
RNAcentral lists this ribosomal RNA (200 nucleotides) under uncultured bacterium. RNAcentral describes it as "partial 16S ribosomal RNA". It matches the Rfam family "Bacterial small subunit ribosomal RNA", at positions 328 to 539 of the family's 1533-position model. The record is from RNAcentral.